Long non-coding RNA from Humulus lupulus (European hop), 616 nucleotides. RefSeq lists it as uncharacterized. Lineage: Eukaryota; Viridiplantae; Streptophyta; Magnoliopsida; Rosales; Cannabaceae. The record is from RefSeq and is a predicted model, not a curated record. The transcript has 5 exons.
UGUUGAGUUCGAGCCUGAGGUGUCCAGUAGAGCCCCUAGUGCCAGCACAACUGUGUUUGGAGUUUCCACAGAAUCUAUGCAACUGUCUUAUGAUUCUAGAGGGAAUAGUGUACCAACAAUUCCCUUGCUUAUGCAAGGCCACUUAUAUGCUCAAGGAGGCCUAAGGGCAGAAGGGAUCUUCAGGAUCAAUGCAGGAAAUAGUCAAGAGGAGAUUGUUCGGGAUGGCUAGGGAGAAGACUAUUUUCCAUGAAUUUUUUGGAAAAAAACAAUGGAGCAGUCUCAGUUGAUGUCAAUGGAUCAUGUGAGAGGGGUAAAUGUUGCAAACUUAGCUGAUAUGGAGCAAAGUCGUAUGCUUGCUAAUACAUUAGCUCAGAACAAUGAUCCUAAAUUUCAUGUUUUUAUUGCAUGGGAAGAAAAAUAAAGCACUAGGUCCCUGAAGAUUGGGUCUGUGAAUCUGGGAAGAGAGAUGAAGCUGUCACAAUAGCAAUGAGCAAGGGGCAAUUGUCAAUUUCAUAGCUUCAUUCCAAGAAGAAAAAGCCAGUAGAAACUGGUAAAGUUAAGUUCAUUCCUCAUGAAGAAAUCCUUAAGCUAUCUUCAGAGACCUUCUAAUAAUAAU